This 51-nucleotide small RNA is filed under the name Plasmodium falciparum 3D7. RNAcentral's name for it is "Pfa-starR6516". The record is from RNAcentral. Lineage: Eukaryota; Apicomplexa; Aconoidasida; Haemosporida; Plasmodiidae.
AGAUUAGUUAAGUUAAGACCUAAGUUAGUAAAGGUAAGACCUAUAUCAGUG